UAAAGCUUAUGGUGGUGACCAUAAAGCUUUAUUUUUGUCUCUUCACUCCAAAUUACAGUGUGCCAGAAGCCAUGUGAAAGUGUCAUCAGGCAUAUUGUAACCAGGCUUUUUUGUGGCACUGGCGCAGUAAAGGCUUCUUUCUGGCAACUCGACCAUGUAGCUCAUUUUUGUUCAAAUAUCUUCGUAUUGUGCUCUUUGAAAUAACCACAGUCUUUUCCCAGAGCAGCCUGUAUUUCUCCUUAAGUUAACUGUGGGUUUUUCUUUGUAUCCCAAAAAAAAUGUCAGGCAGUUUUGGCUGAAAUCUUUCUUGGUCUACCUGACCUUGGCUUGGUAUCAAGAAAUCCCCAAAUUUCCCACUUCUUAAUAAGUGAUUAAACAGUACUGGCUGGCAGUUGCAAGGCUUUGGAGAUCUUUUUAUAACCUUUUCCCAUCUUUAUAAAGUUCCAUUACCUUGUUACGGAGGUCAUUCAACAGUUAUUUUCUGCUCCCCAUGGCUCAGUAUCUAGCCUUCUCAGUGUAUCCACAUGACAGCUAACAAACUCAUUGACAAUUGAUUACAAGACACUAAUUGCAAUUUAAAAAGCCACAGGUGUGGGAAAUCCACAUUUAAUUGGCAUUUUCACCUGCGUGUGUCACCUUGUGUCUGUAACAAGGCCAAACAUUCAAGGGUAUGUAAACUUUUUUUUCCCAGGGCCAUUUGUGUGAUUUCUGUUAUCAUUAUGAUUUAAAGAGGAGCCAGACAACUAUGUGAUAAUAAAUGGCUUUAUAUGAUCACUAUCCUUAAAUAAGAGAUUUCUGGAUGAUCAGUAUUAUAUUUAAAAUCAAUACAAAAAUGUCAAUUUCUGCCAAUGAAUGCAAACUUAUGAGCACAACUGUAUGUUAGCAAUUCUAACACUGGUCUUCUGCUUUCAAAAUGUGAUGCAUCCAAGCAGUAAGAUAUGUCCAGAAAACACACUGUAUUGUCCUCAAUUGGAAAUAGGAUCACUCCAACAACUCUUUGCAUUUUUGCAUACAUGCAAAGUAACACAGGUAACACAGUAUGUAUGAGCCACUCAGUGUCCACACGUAACAGAAAAAAACUAUAGAAAGCAUAACAACUUGUAUGCCCACAUUAUUAUACCCUGAAUGCUGAAUUAACGAAGACAACCUUCCAGAACCACACAAUAGUCUAUAGAGGGUUACUAGAACACCUUUAACUUACGAUCGACAUUAAGACUGGAAACUGCUUCAUAGUUCUUCUAACCUCUCCAUUUCACUGGAAAAAGAUAACACUGUAUUCUUGGGGCGGUUUGAACAGCACAAUGACAUCAUCCCUCAUCUUCAAUCUUCAUGUCACAGACAAUUAAAACCUGUUGGAAGACAAGGGUGUUCCGCUGCCUCAGGAAGUAGGCAAGGAGAUGGAAGGGGCCGAGCCCUCCUGUAUUAUUACCACCAACACCCAUUCCUCCCAAACCACCACCGGGAGGCCGCCCCAGAGACAAAACCGCCUCCGCUUGAAAGAGGUUUGUCUUUUGGUGUUGAUUUCUCCCUCCUCCCCUCACCCUUUGUUUUGUGUAAAUAAAACACCCACCAGGGCCCUGAACACAUCCUUUUUUUCUGUUCCCUGUGUCUAACCACAUUACUAUAUACACCUCUGAAAAUGCAACCCAAUCAGUGAACUAUAAACAGAACAUUGUAAUUACACUGGCCUGACAUUUGGCCAGGCGGUCGAAAAUGAAAAGCGACUCAAGAGAAAUAAAAAACAAGGUGAUUUCCACAGUGAUGUUAUACUACUAUGUAAGAGUAAAAUAUCCCUGUCUAUUAAUCUCUAUGGUCAAGGUUGUCUAAAAUGGAAAGGAGAAUAACAACUAAGACCUAAGGAACAAAAAAUUAUACUACAACCAAACAAGUGUAAUGCACUAGAAUGAAGUAUACAAAAUAAACCUGUACUCUAUUGUGCGUGGCGAUCGGCUCAACGAUGGGCGUCUCAUUCACAGACGUUUGGUAGUCGGACGGCCAUCAGCCAGAAUGAUGCGCGUCAAUGCGUGGAUCACCCAGCGUUGCCGGGGCGACUGGGGCACCCCCAUGCCUGUACUGCCUGACUUUCCUCAGGGAGGUUUUGGAUUGGGUUGGCCAGGGUGGACGAUGACCUAUCCUGCACACUCUUUGGCAUGGAGUAACGUACUGUAGGAUCUUUAUAGAGGGCAGCUGACAGCAGAGGACCCAUUUGAUGCACUGUAGUUUACCCCUGCAGGGAGUAGACACAAACCCCAACCAGUGUGUCCAGCAGUAGUAGUCAGAGGAUUGUGUUAAAGAAGAGCUCAACAUGUUGAGACAGGUCAAACCAGGCAAGCCCAAGCCCAUCCUGAAUGUGAAGGCUUCCUACAGAAUUCAGUUGGACAGUGUCAUACAGCAGGGCUGUUCUACUGGAGGUUAUUGAGAAAGGCCCUUCAAUUCUGAAUAUAAAAAAAUACAAG
Long non-coding RNA from Esox lucius (northern pike), 2456 nucleotides. The record is from Ensembl. NCBI's taxonomy places the organism in Eukaryota, Metazoa, Chordata, Actinopteri, Esociformes, Esocidae.